GGGCGUGUGGCUCAGUUGGUAGAGCGUUCGCUUAGCAUACUCUUCUGUAUGCGAAAGGUCCUGGGUUCGAUUCCCAGCUCGUCCA
RNAcentral lists this transfer RNA (85 nucleotides) under Bombardia bombarda. It matches the Rfam family "tRNA". Rfam says of the family: Transfer RNA (tRNA) molecules are approximately 80 nucleotides in length. Their secondary structure includes four short double-helical elements and three loops (D, anti-codon, and T loops). Further hydrogen bonds mediate the characteristic L-shaped molecular structure. tRNAs have two regions of fundamental functional importance: the anti-codon, which is responsible for specific mRNA codon recognition, and the 3' end, to which the tRNAs corresponding amino acid is attached (by aminoacyl-tRNA synthetases). tRNAs cope with the degeneracy of the genetic code in two manners: having more than one tRNA (with a specific anti-codon) for a particular amino acid; and 'wobble' base-pairing, i.e. permitting non-standard base-pairing at the 3rd anti-codon position. The record is from Rfam by way of RNAcentral. Lineage: Eukaryota; Fungi; Ascomycota; Sordariomycetes; Sordariales; Lasiosphaeriaceae.